UUAAGCGACUAAGCGUACACGGUGGAUGCCCUGGCAGUCAGAGGCGAUGAAGGACGUGCUAAUCUGCGAUAAGCGUCGGUAAGGUGAUAUGAACCGUUAUAACCGGCGAUUUCCGAAUGGGGAAACCCAGUGUGAUUCGUCACACUAUCAUUAACUGAAUCCAUAGGUUAAUGAGGCGAACCGGGGGAACUGAAACAUCUAAGUACCCCGAGGAAAAGAAAUCAACCGAGAUUCCCCCAGUAGCGGCGAGCGAACGGGGAGCAGCCCAGAGCCUGAAUCAGUGUGUGUGUUAGUGGAAGCGUCUGGAAAGGCGCGCGAUACAGGGUGACAGCCCCGUACACAAAAAUGCACAUACUGUGAGCUCGAUGAGUAGGGCGGGACACGUGGUAUCCUGUCUGAAUAUGGGGGGACCAUCCUCCAAGGCUAAAUACUCCUGACUGACCGAUAGUGAACCAGUACCGUGAGGGAAAGGCGAAAAGAACCCCGGCGAGGGGAGUGAAAAAGAACCUGAAACCGUGUACGUACAAGCAGUGGGAGCACAGAGCAAUCUGUGUGACUGCGUACCUUUUGUAUAAUGGGUCAGCGACUUAUAUUCUGUAGCAAGGUUAACCGAAUAGGGGAGCCGAAGGGAAACCGAGUCUUAACUGGGCGUUAAGUUGCAGGGUAUAGACCCGAAACCCGGUGAUCUAGCCAUGGGCAGGUUGAAGGUUGGGUAACACUAACUGGAGGACCGAACCGACUAAUGUUGAAAAAUUAGCGGAUGACUUGUGGCUGGGGGUGAAAGGCCAAUCAAACCGGGAGAUAGCUGGUUCUCCCCGAAAGCUAUUUAGGUAGCGCCUCGUGAAUUCAUCUCCGGGGGUAGAGCACUGUUUCGGCAAGGGGGUCAUCCCGACUUACCAACCCGAUGCAAACUGCGAAUACCGGAGAAUGUUAUCACGGGAGACACACGGCGGGUGCUAACGUCCGUCGUGAAGAGGGAAACAACCCAGACCGCCAGCUAAGGUCCCAAAGUCAUGGUUAAGUGGGAAACGAUGUGGGAAGGCCCAGACAGCCAGGAUGUUGGCUUAGAAGCAGCCAUCAUUUAAAGAAAGCGUAAUAGCUCACUGGUCGAGUCGGCCUGCGCGGAAGAUGUAACGGGGCUAAACCAUGCACCGAAGCUGCGGCAGCGACGCUUAUGCGUUGUUGGGUAGGGGAGCGUUCUGUAAGCCUGCGAAGGUGUGCUGUGAGGCAUGCUGGAGGUAUCAGAAGUGCGAAUGCUGACAUAAGUAACGAUAAAGCGGGUGAAAAGCCCGCUCGCCGGAAGACCAAGGGUUCCUGUCCAACGUUAAUCGGGGCAGGGUGAGUCGACCCCUAAGGCGAGGCCGAAAGGCGUAGUCGAUGGGAAACAGGUUAAUAUUCCUGUACUUGGUGUUACUGCGAAGGGGGGACGGAGAAGGCUAUGUUGGCCGGGCGACGGUUGUCCCGGUUUAAGCGUGUAGGCUGGUUUUCCAGGCAAAUCCGGAAAAUCAAGGCUGAGGCGUGAUGACGAGGCACUACGGUGCUGAAGCAACAAAUGCCCUGCUUCCAGGAAAAGCCUCUAAGCAUCAGGUAACAUCAAAUCGUACCCCAAACCGACACAGGUGGUCAGGUAGAGAAUACCAAGGCGCUUGAGAGAACUCGGGUGAAGGAACUAGGCAAAAUGGUGCCGUAACUUCGGGAGAAGGCACGCUGAUAUGUAGGUGAAGUCCCUCGCGGAUGGAGCUGAAAUCAGUCGAAGAUACCAGCUGGCUGCAACUGUUUAUUAAAAACACAGCACUGUGCAAACACGAAAGUGGACGUAUACGGUGUGACGCCUGCCCGGUGCCGGAAGGUUAAUUGAUGGGGUUAGCGCAAGCGAAGCUCUUGAUCGAAGCCCCGGUAAACGGCGGCCGUAACUAUAACGGUCCUAAGGUAGCGAAAUUCCUUGUCGGGUAAGUUCCGACCUGCACGAAUGGCGUAAUGAUGGCCAGGCUGUCUCCACCCGAGACUCAGUGAAAUUGAACUCGCUGUGAAGAUGCAGUGUACCCGCGGCAAGACGGAAAGACCCCGUGAACCUUUACUAUAGCUUGACACUGAACAUUGAGCCUUGAUGUGUAG
RNAcentral lists this ribosomal RNA (2115 nucleotides) under Escherichia coli. Its description in RNAcentral is "bacterial LSU rRNA". It matches the Rfam family "Bacterial large subunit ribosomal RNA", at positions 1 to 2141 of the family's 2925-position model. The record is from RNAcentral. Lineage: Bacteria; Pseudomonadati; Pseudomonadota; Gammaproteobacteria; Enterobacterales; Enterobacteriaceae.